RNAcentral lists this ribosomal RNA (253 nucleotides) under uncultured bacterium. RNAcentral's name for it is "partial 16S ribosomal RNA". It matches the Rfam family "Bacterial small subunit ribosomal RNA", at positions 524 to 776 of the family's 1533-position model. The record is from RNAcentral.
GACAGAGGGUGCAAACGUUGUUCGGAAUUACUGGGCGUAAAGCGCGUGUAGGCGGCCCUGCAAGUCGGAUGUGAAAUCCCACGGCUCAACCGUGGAAGUGCACUCGAAACUGCAGAGCUAGAGUCCUGGAGAGGAAGGUGGAAUGCUUGGUGUAGAGGUGAAAUUCGUAGAUAUCAAGCGGAACACCGGUGGCGAAGGCGGCCUUCUGGACAGUGACUGACGCUGAGACGCGAAAGCGUGGGGAGCAAACAGG